UGGGGAAUAUUGGACAAUGGGGGCAACCCUGAUCCAGCCAUGCCGCGUGAGUGAUGAAGGCCUUCGGGUUGUAAAGCUCUUUUGGCGGGGACGAUGAUGACGGUACCCGCAGAAUAAGCCCCGGCUAACUUCGUGCCAGCAGCCGCGGUAAGACGAAGGGGGCUAGCGUUGUUCGGAAUUACUGGGCGUAAAGCGAGUGUAGGCGGUUGCCGUAGUCAGGUGUGAAAGCCUUGAGCUCAACUCAAGAAAUGCACUUGAUACUGGGUGACUAGAGGACCGGAGAGGAUAGUGGAAUUCCCAGUGUAGUGGUGAAAUACGUAGAGAUUGGGAAGAACACCAGUGGCGAAGGCGGCUAUCUGGACGGUUACUGGCGCUAAGACUCGAAAGCGUGGGGAGCAAACAGGAUUAGAUACCCUGGUAGUCCACGCCGUAAACGAUGGGUGCUAGACGUUGGCGAGCUUGCUCGUCAGUGUCGCAGCUAACGCGUUAAGCACCCCGCCUGGGGAGUACGGCCGCAAGGUUGAAACUCAAAUGAAUUGACGGGGUCAUAGCUGUUUCCU
This 560-nucleotide ribosomal RNA is filed under the name uncultured bacterium. RNAcentral describes it as "partial 16S ribosomal RNA". It matches the Rfam family "Bacterial small subunit ribosomal RNA", at positions 355 to 1375 of the family's 1533-position model. The record is from RNAcentral.